CGGAGUCCCGAGCCGUGGCUGCCACGGGCGGUGGGCGGGCGGAGGAGAGCACCGGACCACCAGUGCAGGCUGCCGAGUCGGGGCGGCCGCCCGCGGGGAAGCUGCGAGGCGCGGGAGCACCUGGGGGACCGCUCGCAGCGGGGACGCGAGGACCCGGGCUGGGCUUUCCUCACCCUGGUACCUUGUUAUCCCAUAACUUUGGUAUCCUGAAAUCUGAGGAUUCCAACAAGAUAAUAUGAUAAGAACUUUCAGUGAUUUGGGGCCAUAUCCUACUUAGACUAAUGUGGAAUUUCCAGAUUUCCUGAGAGUUUGGUACAGCAGCACACACUGCUUGCUAAUCAGCACAGGCAAUAAUGCCAUCUCUGCCUCAAGAAGGAGUUAUUCAGGGACCCUCUCCCCUGGAUUUGAAUACAGAAUUACCUUAUCAAAGCACAAUGAAAAGGAAAGUCAGAAAGAAGAAAAAGAAGGGAACCAUUACAGCAAAUGUUGCCGGGACAAAGUUUGAAAUUGUUCGUUUAGUAAUAGAUGAAAUGGGAUUUAUGAAAACUCCAGAUGAGGAUGAAACAAGUAAUCUUAUAUGGUGUGAUUCUGCUGUUCAGCAGGAGAAAAUUUCAGAGCUGCAAAAUUAUCAGAGGAUCAACCAUUUUCCAGGAAUGGGGGAGAUCUGUAGGAAGGAUUUCUUAGCAAGAAAUAUGACCAAAAUGAUCAAGUCUCGGCCUCUGGAUUAUACCUUUGUUCCUCGAACAUGGAUCUUUCCUGCCGAAUAUACUCAAUUCCAAAAUUAUGUGAAAGAAUUGAAGAAAAAACGGAAGCAGAAAACUUUUAUAGUGAAACCAGCUAAUGGUGCAAUGGGUCAUGGACCCAGUUAUACAUGCAUCUGACAAACUACUCCGUGAACAAGCAUAAUGAGCGUUUUGAACGGGAUGAAACUGAGAACAAAGGCAGCAAACGUUCCAUCAAAUGGUUUACAGAAUUCCUUCAAGCAAAUCAACAUGAUGUUGCUAAGUUUUGGAGUGAUAUUUCAGAAUUGGUGGUAAAGACCCUGAUUGUAGCAGAACCUCAUGUCCUGCAUGCGUAUCGAAUGUGUAGACCUGGUCAACCUCCAGGAAGCGAAAGUGUCUGCUUUGAAGUCCUGGGAUUUGAUAUAUUGUUGGAUAGAAAACUAAAGCCAUGGCUUCUGGAGAUUAACCGAGCCCCAAGCUUUGGAACUGAUCAGAAAAUAGACUAUGAUGUAAAAAGGGGAGUGCUGCUAAAUGCAUUGAAGCUACUAAACAUAAGGACCAGUGACAAAAGGAGAAACUUGGCCAAACAAAAAGCUGAGGCUCAAAGGAGGCUCUAUGGUCAAAAUUCAAUUAAAAGGCUCUUACCAGGCUCCUCAGACUGGGAACAGCAGAGACACCAGUUGGAGAGGCGGAAAGAAGAGUUGAAAGAGAGACUCGCUCAAGUACGAAAGCAGAUCUCACGAGAAGAACAUGAAAAUCGACAUAUGGGGAAUUAUAGCUCAUUGUGUUCUUGGAAAGAUUGCCCACUUUCCAACUUUUGACAUUGCCUGAGCAGGAUAAAGGAAUGUGUGAGGGCGUUUUUGCACUCAUGACGAAUUUAUCCUCCUGAAGAUAAAGCACUACUUGAAAAGUAUGAAAAUUUGUUAGCCGUUGCCUUUCAGACCUUCCUUUCAGGAAGAGCAGCUUCAUUCCAGCGAGAGUUGAAUAAUCCUUUGAAAAGGAUGAAGAAUAUUUUUUGAAGGAGGAAGAUAUUUUGGAUCUUCUGGAGCAAUGUGAAAUUGAUGAUGAAAAGUUGAUGGGAAAAACUACCAAGAUUCGAGGACCAAAGCCUCUGUGUUCUAUGCCUGAGAGUACUGAGAUAAUGAAAAGACCGAAAUACUGCAGCAGUGACAGCAGUUAUGAUAGUAGCAGCAGCUCUUCAGAAUCUGACGAAAAUGAAAAAGAAGAGUACCAAAAUAAGAAAAGAGAAAAGCAAGUUACAUAUAAUCUUAAACCCUCCAACCACUACAAAUUAAUUCAACAACCCAGCUCCAUAAGACGUUCAGUCAGCUGCCCUCGGUCCAUCUCUGCUCAAUCACCUUCCAGUGGGGACACUCGCCCAUUUUCUGCUCAACAAAUGAUAUCUGUGUCACGGCCAACUUCUGCAUCUCGGUCACAUUCCUUAAACCGUGCUUCCUCCUACGUGAGGCAUCUGCCUCACAGUAAUGAUGCCUGCUCUACCAACUCUCAAGUGAGUGAGUCUUUGCGGCAACUGAAAACAAAAGAACAAGAAGAUGAUCUAACAAGUCAGACCUUAUUUGUUCUCAAGGACAUGAAGAUCCGGUUUCCAGGAAAGUCAGAUGCAGAAUCAGAACUUCUGAUAGAAGAUAUCAUCGAUAACUGGAAGUAUCAUAAAACCAAAGUGGCUUCAUAUUGGCUCAUAAAAUUGGACUCUGUAAAACAACGAAAAGUUUUGGACAUAGUGAAAACAAGCAUUCGUACAGUUCUUCCACGCAUCUGGAAGGUGCCUGAUGUCGAAGAAGUAAAUUUAUAUCGGAUUUUCAACCGGGUUUUUAAUCGCUUACUCUGGAGUCAUGGCCAAGGGCUCUGGAACUGUUUCUGUGAUUCAGGUUAGGUGUAAAAUCUUAGAAAAAUAUAAUCCAAGUCUUUGAUUAUAUCCAAGAAUCCAAGGCCUUGAUUCUUGCCUUUGCAUGUCAACAUCCCCAACAAUAAAACAAAAUCCUCUUGGGAGAGUAUAUUCAAUAAAAGCCCGGAGGUGGUGACUCCUUUGCAGCUCCAGUGUUGCCAGCGCCUGGUGGAGCUUUGUAAACAGUGCCUGCUAGUGGUUUACAAAUAUGCAACUGACAAAAGAGGAUCACUUUCAGGCAUUGGUCCUGACUGGGGUAAUUCCAGGUAUUUACUACCAGGGAGUACCCAAUUCUUCUUGAGAACACCAACCUACAGCUUGAAGUACAAUUCACCUGGAAUGACUCGCUCCAAUGUUUUGUUUACAUCCAGAUAUGGCCAUUUGUGAAACAGAAGGGAAGAUCACCAUUGGUUAUACAUAACAGCAAUUCAUUUUUUUCCCCUAAAGUUGAACAUGCAAAGAACAUGACCAUUAAGUGCUGUUUUAUGUAUAUAAGACAUAUAUAUGUGUGAAAAUAUAUGCACAUAUGCACCCAAAUAACAUAUAUUUAUUAUAUUAAAUAAUAUAUGAAAGAAGAAUUAGCAGAAAAUGGAAUAUAAGACUUAACCUUUCUGGAAAUGUAAUAAACCAUGUUAAAAUUGUUUACACAAAUAUGUGAAUGUCUAGAACUUGCUAGGUUUAUAAUUAAUUCCUUCCUACUAGAAAUGUUAUUUUUGCUGCAGAGUAUAUAAAACAAAUUGAUCUUGAAGAUCCAAUUACAGUGUUAAAUUAUUUUCUAGAUAACAUGCCUUUUGACCUGAAAAAGGGUUUAGUAUAAUACCUUAAAAAUUCUCAUAUAUAGUAGCCAUUUUAAAUGAAACAAAAAGAUUUAGAAGCCUGGUGUUGCUUGAUGAUAAGAUUAAGAAGUUUAAAACGGGUUUAUCAUUACUAUAGCACACUGUAAAGUACUAGAAAAGUCAUAACCUGAUUCUCUAACCUUUUUAUUCCUCUAUGUGGAAAUUUAGCUACUUGUAAUAAUGUACAUUUUCAGUAAGGAUCUGGUAAGAUCAUACUAUGAUCUAAAAUGAAAGACAGGCUGGGUGCGGUGGCUCACGCCUGUAAUCCCAGCACUUUGGGAGGCCGAGGUGAGUGGAUCACCGGAGGUCAGGAGUUUGAGACUAGCCUGGCCAACAUGGUGAAACCCCAUCUCUACUAAAAAUACAAAAAUCAGCUGGGUGUGGUGGUAAGUGCCUGUAAUCCCAGCUACUUGGGAGGCUGAGACAGGAGAAUCACUUGAACCUGGGAGGCGGAGGUUGCAGUGAGCCGAGAUCGUGCCAUUGCAUUCCAGCCUGGGUGAUGAGAGUGAAACUCUGUCUCAAAAAUAAAUAAAUAAAUAAAUAAAUAAAUAAAUAAAUAAAUAAAUAAAAAGAUUAAAUAAAUAAAAUGGAAGACAAUCCAAUGGGUUAAAAAUAAAAUGUAAACUAGCUUUCAUUUUUACUUUUCAUAGAGAAUCACAUAAAGGAACAGAAAAUGAUGGUAACAAAAUCUUUCUAUAUGGCUUUUAUGUCUUAUACCACUCAUUUUUAUUUGGAAAGUAUAUCUUUGAUGGGUUUAACAUAUGGUUAAAUACAAUUUCUCCUGUUUUGCAGAAGUAGAAGAGCUGACACAUUUCGCUCAUUUUAGUGUUAUAGGAUAAUGAGACAAACUUAUUUUUAUAAAUCUCUCAAGGUUGAAAUCAACUUAUAUUUGCAAAGUCUAAUACAGUAGUUUCUCAUUGCACCACAGAAACAGUUAAAGGAUUGUGAAUAGAAGAUUUCAAUGAUCACAUAUUACAAGUCAUCAGUGUACCCUUGAGGGUUUUUAAAAAAUCAAAGCAGAGAACGAAGUGUUCUUGUCCAAAAGUUGUUAUGCAUAAGUUUCAUAGCAGUUUACUUCCUUUUCUUAAAUACAGUUUUUAAAACCAAGAAUGAGCUUUCAGUUUUCCAUAAAAAUAUAAGCUGUACUACUUUGACAUUGAAAUAAUCAGUGCAGCCAUCACUUCUUAGAAUUUAUUUAAACUUCUUCUCCCAACAGUUUUAUUUUCUCCUAGCUGCUAAUUAUUUUCAAAAUUCAUGAACGUUUUACCUCCUUUUGCUAUUCUGAAAGUUAUUUCAAGAAGCGGCCCCAAAGCAGGAGAACUGAGAGGGGCAAAUUGGCCUGGUUUAAUUCACAGCCUGAAUAAUUGGCAACCUAAAGUUGUAAGUUAUAGAUGUAUUUUGCUUUUCAAGCCAUCUUCUGAGCCUUUUUUAGGCUGAAAUGAUUUGUUUCUUUCCCAAAUUAUUGCUAGCUACUUGAUUUUUUAAGACUACCUAACAUCCACAUUUGGUAGAUACUUUUCCUCUGUGCAUGCAUCCCGAAGAAGAAUUUGCUAUUUGUGGAAGAAGAGGAUAAGGGUAUCAGAAUGAAGGAAAUUACGUGACUACACUGUUUGUGACUCCAUUUUGUGAAUUCUUAAAUAUGUUAUGGAUUUUUUUUAGAAAAAAUAAUGCAAAAAUUGGGAUAUUACAGAAUCACCAUAAGGAUGGUCAACAAGUAAUAAGUCUUUUCAUGGAGUUCAUUUUUCUUUUAAAUUCAUGAUUUGGCCACAAAUAUAUAUAUAUAACUUUAAGUGUCUGAUAUAUGAUAACAGCCCAGUUUCUUGGCCACUCAUUUGCGUUAUCUUAAAUCACAAAUAAUUACUUAAUUUGCUGGAGUGUGAGCUUUGCAACUUUUGUACCAGAGCAAAAUUUUUAUUUAAAACAAAAAAUAAGAAUGUCCAUCACUAGGAGAAACACUCCUCCCAGAAAACACACACACACACACACACACACACACAAUUUAAAAACUGAGUAAAUUUAAAUGUAUGAAAGUACCCCACAAAUUGAUUUCAACAAAUAAAUUUCAUUUCUCUAGCUACUUAUGUCUGGCCUUAUUUUGAGUGUUACAAUUUUAUUGCCUUCCUUUGCCUAUUUAGACUGAUGUAGUUUGAUAUGAUGAAGUUGUGAAUAAAAGCCUUGUGUUCAUUAUUUAUAUAUACUACCUGGUAUGCUAUGGACUGUGUCUGCUGUAGUGCUAUUCCCUAAUGAGCAACUAAGAAGAGAAGACACAACAAUAAACCAUGGAAGUGUUGGGAGGCCAUGGAAAUGAUUUAGAGAUAUAAAAUAUUCCCCAGUUUUUAUUAUAAGUUUUUAUUCAUGGGUUAAAACAUAUCAGCAUAAGUGAUAGUACAGGUGUGACUCCCUUUUCUAGGAGAGAAAAUAGCUUUAUUCGAAAACUCCAAAAGCUACUUAAUCUUACAGAGGUUUUUAAUAGGGGAACUGGGUUUACUUACAAUGAAAGCAUAUUUUCAUUUUGCUAUAGAAAACAUAUCCUGCUCAUUCAGUAAAUCUAAGAUUGGAAUGCUUUCUAGAACUAUGCAAUAUUUGAAUAAUUUCUAGAAAUGUCUAAGAAACAACCUUUUUUAUUUGAAACCAUCACUUACAAACGUAGUCUGAGACUGCAAAUUAGUUUUCACUUGAAUAAUCCAUCAUUAUAGAUUAGUUACCAUUUGCUCUAUAUAAUCUAUUGAAGGAACUAUUGUUAUUCAUAUUUUGAUUAAUUUUACUAGCAACAAAUUUUUAUUUUAGUAGCAUUGCGUUUACCUUAAAUAUGUAAAAAUGAAGUUGUAACAGGAUCAAAUAUGGAAAUGGCAAUGGUAACUCUGCCUAGAACAUAGUUGAAUGUCCUUGGUUGUCUGUAAGAUGCAAAGAUCUAUACAAAUUUUAUCAUAGGUCAAAAUUAUUUCUAAAUACACAGUUUCAACUAUUUCUUCCUCCCUAAAACUAAAACCAAACCAAACCCAAAUGAAGAAACCUAAACUUCUUUUCAUCUAAUAGUUAUACCCAACUAGAUAGAUAAUAGUAGCUUCUAGACAUCAAUAAAAAGAUUUUAUUUCAAUUGUCUUUUUAAUUUGUAAAAUAUAUGAGUAUGGAAUUUUGUAUCUAACUUGAAAUUUCAGAUGUUUUAAUAAUUCAAAUACUUUCUUCUUUAGCAUGUCAAAGUACUAAUAGUUUAAAAAUCUCUUUAGAUCUAAGCAUAUACAUUACUCGACUUUUUCAAAAGUAUCAAAAAAUUGAUAGCUGCAGAAAUGUCAUUAUUUGAUUUUCUAAAAAACAUUGAUUCAUUCUUAAAUGUAUAUUCUUUAAAAAAUAGUAAAUACCUCAAGAGUGACAGAAAACUUUCCUUUUCCGUUCUGUAAUGCUAAUUUAAACUUUGAGUCUUAGUUUACAUGGUCAUAGGGGUUAAAUAAAACGUAUAAGUGUACAAUUAAUUGUGUUCUUGUGACCUGAUGAUUUUUUGAAAAUUUGCUUUUCUCUUUAAAUUAAGAAAUUUAAGUUUUCAAGGGCCACAUUAGUUAUCUAAAUAUUUUGGGCUAAUGUUGACUUAUAAAUAAAUAAAAAUUUAGAAAUAUAUUCAUGAUGACAAUUUUGUUACUUACACUGCCUAUUCUUUAUUUCUUCUUUUUUAGUUCAAAGGUGAAAUUUUGACCUUUGUAUUAACAAAGCCUCAAGAAAAGAGAAAUUCUGCCUUUUAAACAUUGGUUUUCCUUGCAUUUUAUGGUGGUGUGCUUUUGCCUCAGCAAUAAUAAAACAUAAAAUAUGUUGUUGCAUCAAGUUCAGUUUGUCUGCUGAGAUUAUUUUUAAGAACCAGGUUGAAGUCUCUAUGCCUAAAAAAGCAUUUAUUGUCUGGAUCCAUAUAAAGCAAGAUACAUGGCUACAAAUAAGUCUUGCAACCAAAAUUGGUAUAUUAAAAUUUACUGCACACUUUGAGAUUGCUGCCAUUUUUUGGUGCUUUUUGGACCUCGUCAUAAAGGGAUGUAUCGUAUAUUGAGGGAAAAUUACUCAAGUUACACAUUCUACAUUAACUGCGCUGUAUUAUCUACAGCUACAAUCAAUGGACCAAUGGUUCCUAAAUUAGUAAUAAGGCUUACCUUACAAAAGUAAUGAAAUAACACUGAUAUUUCUCUUUCAAAGGCUAACAGCAAUUCUUGGUCCUGAGCUAUUCGGUUCAUACAGUAACUACUGUACAUGCUACAACAUCUGAAUAUUAAUGGUUUUGCUGCAGAUUCUGGGUAUGAGGAUUAGCUUAAAAGCAAUACAUUUGCUAACAUGAAUCAUGACUCAUAUUAUCCCCAUGUGCUUUACUACCUGUAUUUGAAUGCAAAUGUUGUUACAGAAAAUAUGCUUGAAAUGUCAAUACAGUGUGCAAUUAGUGUUGCAUUGUCAUGCUCCAGCAUGUGAUAUCUGUAUGGUGAAGUUAUUUCAAUUACUCUGAUAUGUUACUAUAAUAAAAAAGUUUAACCUAAGAAA
This 7973-nucleotide small RNA is filed under the name Pongo abelii (Sumatran orangutan). Its description in RNAcentral is "processed transcript". The record is from RNAcentral. Lineage: Eukaryota; Metazoa; Chordata; Mammalia; Primates; Hominidae.